This 69-nucleotide small nuclear RNA is filed under the name Mustela putorius furo (domestic ferret). Its description in RNAcentral is "U4 spliceosomal RNA". It matches the Rfam family "U4 spliceosomal RNA", at positions 1 to 69 of the family's 138-position model. From Rfam's summary of the family: U4 small nuclear RNA (U4 snRNA) is a component of the major U2-dependent spliceosome. The structure of U4 snRNA from yeast and human has been reported. The record is from Rfam by way of RNAcentral. Lineage: Eukaryota; Metazoa; Chordata; Mammalia; Carnivora; Mustelidae.
AGCUUUGUGCAGUGGCAGUAUCAUAGCCAAUGAGGUUUAUCUGAGGCACGACUAUUGCUAAUUAAAGAA